AGAUCAGACAUCUGUCUGUGUUUAGAUCUGUACCUCUGGUGGCGAGUGCGACUCUGUACGGUAGAUACCGAUGGGAAUCUCCGAACUAGAUGAGCAGAACUUCUGGAAUAAUCUCCCGUAUGUACGGAUCCAUAGGAGGUCACAUGGCAGUAAAGAGGCGGAGUCAGCUAUCUCUAAAACUGGAGCUAUGCUUGGGCGGCGACUCCCACCUUCGUUCUCUAAAGGCGGAGCCAGCUUGAUGCCGCUCUUAGUAGGACUGGUAUUCUGAAAAUCCAAGGCAACCGUUCCUGAAAAGAAUCAAAACAUUUGACCAACACAAUCGCUCCAAAAUCCCACCUUACUUUCUAACUGCUGUCGCUUACCCAUGCUUGCAAGGAUACUAUGAACGGGAAGACCAGAUGGGCUGUUUAAGAUGUCACAGUGGCUCCGCCCCUUUCCCUGAUCUGCUUCCUGUCUAAAAAUAAAAGCUGAGUUUUCCUCC
Misgurnus anguillicaudatus (oriental weatherfish) is the source of this 481-nucleotide long non-coding RNA. RefSeq lists it as uncharacterized. The record is from RefSeq and is a predicted model, not a curated record. NCBI's taxonomy places the organism in Eukaryota, Metazoa, Chordata, Actinopteri, Cypriniformes, Cobitidae.